CAUGGUGCUAUGAAAAUUCAAGCGGGCUGAAGUAAAGAUUACUCUAUGUAAAAUUCAUGCUUCAAUGCCUACUCGUAAGACUAUGUCAUAUAUUUUUCUGUGCUUUAGCUGCAGUCACUGUUGACUUGUGUGUACAUUAUAUUGCCUCUUUAGUUAUCUAACAUGCAUAUGCAAUAUAUCUCUCAUCAAUAAAUAUCUAUGUGUGAUUUGCAGGGAAAUAUAUCCGUGCUUGGUAGUUUGAGACUAUUGGUGUCAAGAUCUUGCUCCAAAUGCACAUGAUCGAAUUAGUGUUCUAUACAGAGUAACACUUUUGGGCUUUGGGUAAUCUCUCAAUGGUUUCUAAAUGGUAAUCUUGCCUGACCAUUGGUUUUUUGAGUUCUUUCAAAGAGUAUUCUUCUUGGCUUGCAGGUUGCCGCUAGAGCCGGACAAGAUAAGGCUUGCCUUACCUGGUGACGUACUGGCUAGGAGAGUGCAAGCUGCCGCCCACACGUACCAGAUGGUCCCAUCAAGGACGUUGUCGUACCGACUGCCAAUGAUCUACAGGUAAUCAGUUUUUCCUUAGCUUCUGUUAUUAGUCUUUUUUUCCUAUGAAUCGUUCGACUCGUGGUUGCUUCUACAAAAUAGCUCAUCUUUUAGCUUGAAAUGUUACCAUGAAACUUAUCCCCUUUAUUCACUUAAACAAUUUAUGAUGGUGGUUUGGGUACCAAGCUCAGUUGUUUUUUUAUAAA
RNAcentral lists this long non-coding RNA (728 nucleotides) under Triticum aestivum (bread wheat). RNAcentral describes it as "long non-coding RNA (TAES_LNC002326)". The record is from RNAcentral. Lineage: Eukaryota; Viridiplantae; Streptophyta; Magnoliopsida; Poales; Poaceae.